AGUGAACGCUGGCGGCGUGGAUUAGGCAUGCAAGUCGAGCGAUCUCGCAAGAGAUAGCGGCAAACGGGUGAGUAAUACGUGAGUAACUUGCCCUAAAGACAGACAUAGCUUCGUGAAAACGGAGGUAAUAUCUGAUAUGGCUCUUGACACAUAGGUGUUAAAAGUUAAAGUCGGGGACCGCAAGGCCCGACGCUUUAGGAUGGGCUCACGUCCUAUCAGCUAGUUGGUGAGGUAAUGGCUCACCAAGGCUUAUGACGGGUAGCUGGUCUGAGAGGAUGGUCAGCCACACUGGGACUGAGACACUGCCCAGACUCCUACGGGAGGCUGCAGUCGAGAAUCUUUAGCAAUGGGCGAAAGCCUGACUAUGCGACGCCGCGUGAGGGAUGAAGAAUUUCGGUUCGUAAACCUCUUUUAACAGGGAAGAAAA
RNAcentral lists this ribosomal RNA (427 nucleotides) under uncultured bacterium. RNAcentral's name for it is "bacterial SSU rRNA". It matches the Rfam family "Bacterial small subunit ribosomal RNA", at positions 29 to 451 of the family's 1533-position model. The record is from RNAcentral.